This is a small nucleolar RNA of Pongo abelii (Sumatran orangutan), 102 nucleotides long. The record is from Ensembl. Lineage: Eukaryota; Metazoa; Chordata; Mammalia; Primates; Hominidae.
AUCCCUUUGUAGCUCAUGAGUGAUGAUUGGGUGUUCACGUGCAGGUAUGAGAUGUGCUACCCUCAAACCUUCUUACAAAGUCAGCACAUUACCCAUCUGACA